ACCUUUAUGGUGUAACGGUUAGCACACUCGGCUCGUAUUCGAGAGGUCCAGGUUCGAGUCCCUGCGAGAGCA
Stegodyphus mimosarum is the source of this 72-nucleotide non-coding RNA. The record is from Rfam. NCBI's taxonomy places the organism in Eukaryota, Metazoa, Arthropoda, Arachnida, Araneae, Eresidae.